UACACUCCUACGGGAGGCAGCAGUGGGGAAUUUUGGACAAUGGGCGAAAGCCUGAUCCAGCCAUGCCGCGUGCAGGAUGAAGGCCUUCGGGUUGUAAACUGCUUUUGUACGGAACGAAACGGCCUUUUCUAAUAAAGAGGGCUAAUGACGGUAACGUAAGAAUAAGCACCGGCUAACUACGUGCCAGCAGCCGCGGUAAUACGUAGGGUGCAAGCGUUAAUCGGAAUUACUGGGCGUAAAGCGUGCGCAGGCGGUUAUGUAAGACAGUUGUGAAAUCCCCGGGCUCAACCUGGGAACUGCAUCUGUGACUGCAUAGCUAGAGUACGGUAGAGGGGGAUGGAAUUCCGCGUGUAGCAGUGAAAUGCGUAGAUAUGCGGAGGAACACCGAUGGCGAAGGCAAUCCCCUGGACCUGUACUGACGCUCAUGCACGAAAGCGUGGGGAGCAAACAGGAUUAGAAACCCCAGUAGUCCC
This 473-nucleotide ribosomal RNA is filed under the name uncultured organism. Its description in RNAcentral is "partial 16S ribosomal RNA". It matches the Rfam family "Bacterial small subunit ribosomal RNA", at positions 332 to 797 of the family's 1533-position model. The record is from RNAcentral.